RNAcentral lists this ribosomal RNA (253 nucleotides) under uncultured bacterium. RNAcentral describes it as "partial 16S ribosomal RNA". It matches the Rfam family "Bacterial small subunit ribosomal RNA", at positions 524 to 776 of the family's 1533-position model. The record is from RNAcentral.
UACGUAGGGGGCAAGCGUUGUCCGGAUUUAUUGGGCGUAAAGAGCUCGUAGGCGGCUUGUUGCGUCGACUGUGAAAACCCGCGGCUUAACCGCGGGCUUGCAGUUGAUACGGGCAGGCUAGAGUUCGGUAGGGGAGACUGGAAUUCCUGGUGUAGCGGUGAAAUGCGCAGAUAUCAGGAGGAACACCGGCGGCGAAGGCGGGUCUCUGGGCCGAUACUGACGCUGAGGAGCGAAAGCGUGGGGAGCGAACAGG